UACGUAGGGUGCAGGCGUUAAUCGGAAUUACUGGGCGUAAAGCGUGCGCAGGCGGUCUUUUUAAGUCAGAUGUGAAAAUCCCCCGGGCUUUAACCUGGGAACUGCGUUUGAAACUGGAAAGGCUUGAGUGUGGCAGAGGGGGGGUGGAAUUCCACGUGUAGCAGUGAAAAUGCGUAGAGAUGUGGAGGAACACCGAUGGCGAAGGCAGCCCCCCUGGGCUAACACUGACGCCUCAUGCACGAAGGCGUGGGGGAGAAACAGG
This 262-nucleotide ribosomal RNA is filed under the name uncultured bacterium. Its description in RNAcentral is "partial 16S ribosomal RNA". It matches the Rfam family "Bacterial small subunit ribosomal RNA", at positions 524 to 776 of the family's 1533-position model. The record is from RNAcentral.